Small nuclear RNA from Aethalodelphis obliquidens (Pacific white-sided dolphin), 108 nucleotides. Lineage: Eukaryota; Metazoa; Chordata; Mammalia; Artiodactyla; Delphinidae. The record is from RefSeq and is a predicted model, not a curated record.
GUGCUCACUUCAGCAGCACAUAUACUAAAAAUUGGAACAAUACAGACAAGCUCAGCAUGGCCCCUGCUCAAGGAUGACACACAAAUCCGUGAAGCGUUCCAUAUUUCC